CUCAGAACCUCAGGCUGUUGGAAGUUCCACCAUCUUGUAGCUGCUCCCAGUGGCAAAGAGCAACCAAAGAACUACAUGGGCCUCAAGAAGGUCAGCAGGAUUAAAUGAAGCAAAAAGGAUGGAGCCCUAAUUCAAUAGGAAUGAUGUGAUUAUAAGAAGAGAAAGAGACACCAAAGCACAGAGGCAAGAUGGUGUGAGGACACAAUGGGACGGUGGCAUCUGCAACUAAGGAGAGAAGCUUCUGGAUAAACCAAAUUUGCUGACCUCUUAACCUUGGACAUCCAGUCUCUAGAACAGUGAAAAAAUUAAUUUCUGUGGUUUAAA
Molecule: long non-coding RNA, 324 nt
Organism: Pan troglodytes (chimpanzee)
Lineage: Eukaryota; Metazoa; Chordata; Mammalia; Primates; Hominidae
Exons: 2
Source: RefSeq, a predicted model, not a curated record